AUGUUUAAGGUCCAGGAGCAAAGAGAACUUGAUUUUACAAAGAGCUUGUGUGUUGGUUCUGACAGGGAAGGACCACCAGCCAUGCCCUCCAGGUACCUUCCCACCAUCACAGACCCCUGUUCCCCCCGCCCCCUCCCUCUCGUCCAGGGUGUUGUGCAGUUGGAGCCCACAGCAUCGUCAUCAGUUUGCUUCUUGAAAAACCACAGUAAGCAAAGGAUUGACACGCAGCAGACGGCCGAAGGGAGGCUGCUGUGGGCUGUGUGGAUGGGAGGCAGAGGGUGGAGCCGCCCCCACCUCACCGCCAGGUGGGGCAGGAAACCCUGGUGGUGCAAGAGGCUCGGGGUGACUGCAGGAGGAGACGCCCGCAGGCGGGCAGAGCAGGAUGUGGAGCAGGCCAGGGCCUGCACCCCAGCGCCAGGUAUGCGGCCCGGAGGAAGGCGCGCCCACGGCAGGUGCAGGGAGCCAGUGCCCACGGCCCCAGAAGAGGGAGGCCUGCAGGUGCGGUCGGGGCACGUCCUGGGCUGCAGAGCCACGCGUCCUCCAGAGUCGCUGUGCUGCCUGCAGUGUGGGUGCAGGGGAGGGCGGCGCUGGGUCCGCCACGCUGGUGGCUCUGGUGACACCUGGGGGGACAGCUCCAGAAGUGGGGUGGGGGCAGGGAGGCUGAGCCCCAUGAGGGCCUGGGCCCCUCUCUGCAAGGGCCACACUGGACACUCCUGGCUGCAGCCCAGCUCCCUCUGUCCACCUGGCCACCCUGGCGCAGGCCCGGGCAUCAGGCUUAGCGCUCGGAGCCCAGAGCCCCCAGCUGCUCCUGAGUCCCCUUGGCAUCUCCAGGCGCGGGCAUGGCUCGCACCCACCAUCAAGAUGGGUCUCUGGGGGAGCUCUCCUCCCUCUGCUGUGACAUCAGAGACCAGGCAGGGACCCCUGUUUCCACCCCAGGCUCUGAUCCAGCCCUCCCCUUCCUCCGAAGGCCUCCAUCCCCAGAGAGGAGUUAACACUUCCCUCAGUCAGGCUCUGAGAAAGCAGGAGACAGCGUGA
This 1035-nucleotide long non-coding RNA is filed under the name Sus scrofa (pig). RNAcentral describes it as "lncRNA (ENSSSCG00070015010.1)". The record is from RNAcentral. Lineage: Eukaryota; Metazoa; Chordata; Mammalia; Artiodactyla; Suidae.